UGCCAGACUCCUACGGGAGGCAGCAGUGGGGAAUAUUGCACAAUGGGGGAAACCCUGAUGCAGCAACGCCGCGUGAGUGAAGAAGUAUUUCGGUAUGUAAAGCUCUAUCAGCAGGGAAGAAAAUGACGGUACCUGACUAAGAAGCCCCGGCUAACUACGUGCCAGCAGCCGCGGUAAUACGUAGGGGGCAAGCGUUAUCCGGAUUUACUGGGUGUAAAGGGAGCGUAGACGGCAGUGCAAGUCCGGAGUGAAAGCCCGGGGCUCAACCCUGGGACUGCUCUGGAAACUGUAAAGCUGGAGUGCGGGAGGGGCAGGCGGAAUUCCUGGUGUAGCGGUGAAAUGCGUAGAUAUCAGGAGGAACACCGGCGGCGAAGGCGGCCUGCUGGACCGUAACUGACGUUGAGGCUCGAAAGCGUGGGGAGCAAACAGGAUUAGAUACCCGGGUA
This 446-nucleotide ribosomal RNA is filed under the name uncultured bacterium. Its description in RNAcentral is "bacterial SSU rRNA". It matches the Rfam family "Bacterial small subunit ribosomal RNA", at positions 329 to 792 of the family's 1533-position model. The record is from RNAcentral.